UAGUCCACGCCGUAAACGAUGGACACUUGGUGUUGGAGGUAUUGACCCCUUCAGUGCCGUAGCUAACGCGUUAAGUGUCCCGCCUGGGGAGUACGGUCGCAAGAUUAAAACUCAAAGAAAUUGACGGGGGCCCGCACAAGCGGUGGAGCAUGUGGUUUAAUUCGAUGCAACGCGAAAAACCUUACCUGGGCUUGACAUAUACUGGAAAUAUCCAGAGAUGGAUAUGCCUUCGGGCCAGUAUACAGGUGCUGCAUGGCUGUCGUCAGCUCGUGUCGUGAGAUGUUGGGUUAAGUCCCGCAACGAGCGCAGCCCCUGUCUUUAGUUGCCAGCAUUUAGUUGGGCACUCUAAAGAGACUGCCGACGUUAAGUCGGAGGAAGGUGGGGAUGACGUCAAGUCCUCAUGGCCCUUAUGUCCAGGGCUACACACGUGCUACAAUGGUAAGUACAGAGGGUUGCUAAACCGUGAGGUCAUGCUAAUCUCUUAAAGCUUAUCUAAGUUCGGAUUGAAGU
This 510-nucleotide ribosomal RNA is filed under the name uncultured bacterium. RNAcentral describes it as "bacterial SSU rRNA". It matches the Rfam family "Bacterial small subunit ribosomal RNA", at positions 791 to 1304 of the family's 1533-position model. The record is from RNAcentral.